RNAcentral lists this ribosomal RNA (2900 nucleotides) under Streptococcus thermophilus. RNAcentral's name for it is "LSU rRNA". It matches the Rfam family "Bacterial large subunit ribosomal RNA". The record is from RNAcentral. Lineage: Bacteria; Bacillati; Bacillota; Bacilli; Lactobacillales; Streptococcaceae.
GGUUAAGUUAAUAAGGGCGCACGGUGGAUGCCUUGGCACUAGAAGCCGAUGAAGGACGUGACUAACGACGAAAUGCUUUGGGGAGCUGUAAGUGAGCAAUGAUCCAGAGAUGUCCGAAUGGGGGAACCCGGCAGGUAAUGCCUGUCACUCAUUACUGUUAAGGUAAUGUAGAGGAAGACGCAGUGAACUGAAACAUCUAAGUAGCUGUAGGAAGAGAAAGCAAAAGCGAUUGCCUUAGUAGCGGCGAGCGAAACGGCAAGAGGGCAAACCGAAGAGUUUACUCUUCGGGGUUGUAGGACUGUAACGUGGACUUAAAGAUUAUAGAAGAACUACCUGGGAAGGUAGGCCAAAGAGAGUAAUAGCCUCGUAUUCGAAAUAGUCUUUAUACCUAGCAGUAUCCUGAGUACGGCGAGACACGAGAAAUCUCGUCGGAAUCUGGGAGGACCAUCUCCCAACCCUAAAUACUCUCUAGUGACCGAUAGUGAACCAGUACCGUGAGGGAAAGGUGAAAAGCACCCCGGGAGGGGAGUGAAAUAGAACCUGAAACCGUGUGCCUACAACAAGUUCGAGCCCGUUAAUGGGUGAGAGCGUGCCUUUUGUAGAAUGAACCGGCGAGUUACGAUAUGAUGCGAGGUUAAGUUGAAGAGACGGAGCCGUAGGGAAACCGAGUCUUAAUAGGGCGCAUUAGUAUCAUGUCGUAGACCCGAAACCAUGUGACCUACCCAUGAGCAGGUUGAAGGUGAGGUAAAACUCACUGGAGGACCGAACCAGGGCACGUUGAAAAGUGCUUGGAUGACUUGUGGGUAGCGGAGAAAUUCCAAACGAACUUGGAGAUAGCUGGUUCUCUCCGAAAUAGCUUUAGGGCUAGCGUCGAUGUUAAGUCUCUUGGAGGUAGAGCACUGUUUGGGUGAGGGGUCCAUCCCGGAUUACCAAUCUCAGAUAAACUCCGAAUGCCAAUGAGAUAUAAUCGGCAGUCAGACUGCGAGUGCUAAGAUCCGUAGUCGAAAGGGAAACAGCCCAGACCACCAGCUAAGGUCCCAAAAUAUAUGUUAAGUGGAAAAGGAUGUGGGGUUGCACAGACAACUAGGAUGUUAGCUUAGAAGCAGCUAUUCAUUCAAAGAGUGCGUAAUAGCUCACUAGUCGAGUGACCCUGCGCCGAAAAUGUACCGGGGCUAAAACAUAUUACCGAAGCUGUGGAUACCUUUAUAGGUAUGGUAGGAGAGCGUUCUAUGUGCGAAGAAGGUGUACCGUGAGGAGUGCUGGAGCGCAUAGAAGUGAGAAUGCCGGUAUGAGUAGCGAAAGACAGGUGAGAAUCCUGUCCACCGUAAGACUAAGGUUUCCAGGGGAAGGCUCGUCCGCCCUGGGUUAGUCGGGACCUAAGGAGAGACCGAAAGGUGUAUCCGAUGGACAACAGGUUGAUAUUCCUGUACUAGAGUAUAUAGUGAUGGAGGGACGCAGUAGGCUAACUAAACCAGACGAUUGGAAGUGUCUGGCCAAGCAGUGAGGUGUGAUAUGAGUCAAAUGCUUAUAUCUUUAACAUUGAGCUGUGAUGGGGAGCGAAGUUUAGUAGCGAAGUUAGUGAUGUCACACUGCCGAGAAAAGCUUCUAGCGUUAAUUAUACUCUACCCGUACCGCAAACCGACACAGGUAGUCGAGGCGAGUAGCCUCAGGUGAGCGAGAGAACUCUCGUUAAGGAACUCGGCAAAAUGGCCCCGUAACUUCGGGAGAAGGGGCGCUGACUGAUGGUCAGCCGCAGUGAAUAGGCCCAAGCAACUGUUUAUCAAAAACACAGCUCUCUGCUAAAUCGUAAGAUGAUGUAUAGGGGGUGACGCCUGCCCGGUGCUGGAAGGUUAAGAGGAGUGCUUAGCGUAAGCGAAGGCAUGAAUUGAAGCCCCAGUAAACGGCGGCCGUAACUAUAACGGUCCUAAGGUAGCGAAAUUCCUUGUCGGGUAAGUUCCGACCCGCACGAAAGGCGUAAUGAUUUGGGCACUGUCUCAACGAGAGACUCGGUGAAAUUUUAGUACCUGUGAAGAUGCAGGUUACCCGCGACAGGACGGAAAGACCCCAUGGAGCUUUACUGCAGUUUGAUAUUGAGUAUCUGUACCACAUGUACAGGAUAGGUAGGAGCCUAUGACCUCGGGACGCCAGUUUCGAGUGAGGCGUUGUUGGGAUACUACCCUUGUGUUAUGGCUACUCUAACCCAGAUAGGUUAUCCCUAUCGGAGACAGUGUCUGACGGGCAGUUUGACUGGGGCGGUCGCCUCCUAAAAGGUAACGGAGGCGCCCAAAGGUUCCCUCAGAAUGGUUGGAAAUCAUUCGCAGAGUGUAAAGGUAUAAGGGAGCUUGACUGCGAGAGCUACAACUCGAGCAGGGACGAAAGUCGGGCUUAGUGAUCCGGUGGUUCCGUAUGGAAGGGCCAUCGCUCAACGGAUAAAAGCUACCCUGGGGAUAACAGGCUUAUCUCCCCCAAGAGUUCACAUCGACGGGGAGGUUUGGCACCUCGAUGUCGGCUCGUCGCAUCCUGGGGCUGUAGUCGGUCCCAAGGGUUGGGCUGUUCGCCCAUUAAAGCGGCACGCGAGCUGGGUUCAGAACGUCGUGAGACAGUUCGGUCCCUAUCCGUCGCGGGCGUAGGAAAUUUGAGAGGAUCUGCUCCUAGUACGAGAGGACCAGAGUGGACUUACCGCUGGUGUACCAGUUGUUCUGCCAAGAGCAUCGCUGGGUAGCUAUGUAGGGAAGGGAUAAACGCUGAAAGCAUCUAAGUGUGAAGCCCACCUCAAGAUGAGAUUUCCCAUGAUUUUAUAUCAGUAAGAGCCCUGAGAGAUGAUCAGGUUGAUAGGUUAGAAGUGGAAGUGUGGUGACACAUGUAGCGGACUAAUACUAAUAGCUCGAGGACUUAUCCAA